UUCUGUAUUUGAAUGACAAGCAUCCACAACUCAAAGAAAUAUACAUCACUGAAAAUGGGUUUUCAACUAAGAGUGAUCACACGAAGACAGCCAAAAUGGUGUGUGAUGAUGACCAUGAUAGGAC
Salvia hispanica is the source of this 124-nucleotide non-coding RNA. NCBI's taxonomy places the organism in Eukaryota, Viridiplantae, Streptophyta, Magnoliopsida, Lamiales, Lamiaceae. The record is from RefSeq and is a predicted model, not a curated record.